AGCUGAGAUCGUGCCACUGCAUGCCAGCCUGGGCGACAGAGCAAGACCCUGUCAAAAAUAAUAAUAAUAAUAAAGGCAAUUGUUCUAGUGAUGUUAAGUGAGCUUAAUGUAUCACUGCAGAUGCUGAACUUAUGUGAUAGGUGAAAUAGAAAGGGUGAAUUUAAAACAGAAUUUUUUAUCUCAUUCUUUCUUUCUGUUCUUUUUAAUAAAAGGAAGGAUUACGGCCAGGAGAUACAACCAGCACUUUCUGUGGUACUCCUAAUUACAUUGCUCCUGAAAUUUUAAGAGGAGAAGAUUAUGGUUUCAGUGUUGACUGGUGGGCUCUUGGAGUGCUCAUGUUUGAGAUGAUGGCAGGAAGGUCUCCAUUUGAUAUUGUUGGGAGCUCCGAUAACCCUGACCAGAACACAGAGGAUUAUCUCUUCCAAGUUAUUUUGGAAAAACAAAUUCGCAUACCACGUUCUCUGUCUGUAAAAGCUGCAAGUGUUCUGAAGAGUUUUCUUAAUAAGGACCCUAAGGAACGGUUGGGUUGUCAUCCUCAAACAGGAUUUGCUGAUAUUCAGGGACACCCGUUCUUCCGAAAUGUUGAUUGGGAUAUGAUGGAGCAAAAACAGGUGGUACCUCCCUUUAAACCAAAUAUUUCUGGGGAAUUUGGUUUGGACAACUUUGAUUCUCAGUUUACUAAUGAACCUGUCCAGCUCACUCCAGAUGACGAUGACAUUGUGAGGAAGAUUGAUCAGUCUGAAUUUGAAGGUUUUGAGUAUAUCAAUCCUCUUUUGAUGUCUGCAGAAGAAUGUGUCUGAUCCUCAUUUUUCAACCAUGUAUUCUACUCAUGUUGCCAUUUAAUGCAUGGAUAAACUUGCUGCCAGCCUGGAUACAAUUAACCAUUUUAUAUUUGCCACCUACAAAAAAACACCCAAUAUCUUCUCUUGUAGACUAUAUGAAUCAAUUAUUACAUCUGUUUUACUAUGAAAAAGAAAUUAAUACUACUAGCUUCCAGACAAUCAUGUCAAAAUUUAGUUGAACUGGUUUUUCAGUUUUUAAAAGGCCUACAGAUGAGUAAUGAAGUUAUCUUUUUUGUUUAAAAAAAAAAAACACUGCAUUAAAGAAGUAUCUGUUGCAUUAAGGCACAUAGUGGGAUUACAUCAUAAACCUCCCAUAAUUUUUGUCAUUCUGUGUUAAAUCAUUUCAGGGUUUAAUUUUGAAAUAAAAGAUUAAUAUAAAAUGCAACAACUUUUUAUAUUACCUAUUAGUUUUGGAGUUCUUUAUGUUUAAAAAUUCAGGUGUAAAUUUUAUUGCCUUGGAUAAAUAAAUUAUUGAUCUUUUUUAAGGCAGCAGUUAUUAAAUUGGUAAUAGAAGAUGCUGCUUGCUUAGAAUUGGGAAAUUCAGCUGGGUGCAGUGACUCAAUGCCUGUGAUCCCAGUACUUUGGGAGGUUGAGGCGGGCAGAUCACUUGAGGUCAGGAGUUUGAGAUUGGCCUGGUCAACAUGGUGAAAUCCUGUCUCUACUAAAAAUACAAAAAUUAGCUGGGCAUGGUGGCACAUACCUGUAAUCCCAGCUACUCGGGAGGCUGAAACAGGAGAAUCGCUUGAACCCAGGAGAUGGAGUUGGCAGUGAGCCAAGAUUACUCCAGCCUGGGCAACAGUGAGUGAGACUCGGUCUCAAACAAAACAAAACAAAAACCAAAUUGGGAAAUUCUUCUUGAGUUAAAAAAGACACUUUUUAUUAUGAAUCAGAUUCCAAAUCAUUAACUAUUUUUGCAAAACUGGCACAAGUGGUUUUUCUUUUUAAGUAUAUUAACGGGGUAGCUCCUGAGCCUAUCCCUUUAUUGGAAACUUUAACUGCAGUGUUAAUAUAUACACUGCAAAAGACCAAGGAUGCAGUUGAAUGGAAAAUUACUCAGUGUAUAGAAAGGAAAAAAACCAGAAAUUUAAAAUAGAUACAGAAGAGUACACUGGUAAUAUUUUUAUUUCCUAUUGGAGAGUGAAUCCCCACAGUUGCUUUUUGUGACUUGAUUCAAAUGAGGCACUCAUUAUUGUUACCAAACUUGUAAAAGCAUUCCAUGUCUUCAGUGGAGGCAGAAUGUAUAAUAUUUUUUCCUUAUAAUUUAGCAUACAGGAAAAUUAUUUAUUUUUUAAGUAGGGUAUCUUAAUUAUGCUCAUUUCUUCCCCUAAACCAUAUUAUCUAUAUGAUUGGACCCUUUAGUGAAAUCAGAAAAAUAAAGUAGGCAUGAAUAAACGUUCAGGACACACACAUACACUCACACACAUCACAGUAUCAGCUCUUCCAGUGAGUUUUUAUUAACUAGAUAACACAUGUAAUACAUAGUAGAAUACAUUUCAGAGGCAGAGUUCCUCGGAUUAUUUUUUAUGGAUAUUAGUGUUCAGCAGCUUAUUAUUUAAAGGGGUGCCAAAUAUAGCAUCCUUCUGUUGUUUAUUUUAAAUAUUUUUUUAAUGAAAAGGGACUUAAAAAGUAAACAUGAUUAUCUAAAUUACUUAAAAUUUUUUAAUCUUAGUAAAACUUAAUUUUAGGAAAGUUAUCUAGUUUAAAUUUCAAAUGUUUUAAAAUUUGUAGGCAUUUAAUAAAUUAUCUUUUUUUGGAGGGGUGGAUGCUACAUUUCAUUGGAAAUGUCAUUUUUCCAAAGUUUCUAGCUGUGUACUCUCUUUCCUUCAAGUAACAUAAGUCUGAAAGCAAUGAAAACGUCAAAGGAAAAUGUUUAUAUACAUCCACAUGUUUAUUUAAUAUGUUUCUCUUAACACCUGAAACUUGUUUUAAAACAAAAAGCAGUAUUCACUUCAAAUCAUAAACUUAGAAUUCUGUAUCUCAUGUCAGAAAUAUGUUUAUGGCCUUGCUUUUAAGUGGUGCUGUUUCCCGUAGGGCAUUAGUUCUCAGAUUUGGGAAUGUGAAAUAAUCACCUAGGAAGUUGGUUUAAAAUGCACACUAGUGAGCCCACCUUAGACUUCUUUUGGGGCCUUCGACCUCACUUUGAGAAAUACCUUCUUCAGGUUAUUCUUUAUGUUUGUCCUGUGGUUAAAUAUUAGAGUAUUCAUGAUAAAACAUUUUGAGAAGGGGUAAGCAGUGAGUUAUUACCCACAAUUUAAAGCAAAUUUUGAAUGAAUCUUUAAGUUAGGUAUCUACCUUCCCGCCAGCCCCCCAAAAAAACCUCUCAGUGGUUUCUAUCAGUGUACAAAAUGAUGAGCAUUUUUCUAUGAUGAGGUUUUAACCAUUAUUCAGGGUGGUCUUUUGUUUUUAAAUCUUUUUUUAACAAGAUUUACGGUGUGUAUUUUAUACAGAAAUGCAUUAUAAAUGUUUUUAAUUGUGUUCUGUUUUUUGCAGUCUUUAAGUGCCAUGCCAAUUGUUCUUAUAUUCUAUAGAGGUUCGCUCAAAAUACUCAACAGGGGAAUAGGCAGCGGACAGUCAGAAUGGUUGGAAUUUUGGCGUUCUAAGAAAAACUUUAUUUUGCAUAAGCAUGUGGUCAGAUCAUUUUGUGCAUAUGCAGCCUGGAUUGGAUGUUAAGUAAAUGCUUGUUCAGUGCCGGUACAUUUACUUAAAUCUGUUUUUAUUUUUGUCAUGUAGAAUACUACUGUGGUCAUCAUAAUGUAAUCUGUAUUUCUGUACCUUUUUUUUUUUUUUUUACUUUGAAGUCUUUAAAUAAAAUGUAUAAUACCCA
RNAcentral lists this small RNA (3666 nucleotides) under Pan troglodytes (chimpanzee). Its description in RNAcentral is "retained intron". Lineage: Eukaryota; Metazoa; Chordata; Mammalia; Primates; Hominidae. The record is from RNAcentral.